AUACGGAGGGGGCUAGCGUUGUUCGGAAUCACUGGGCGUAAAGCCCUCGUAGGCGGAUUGGUCAGUCUGAGGUGAAAUCCCAAGGCUCAACCUUGGAACUGCCUUUGAUACUGCCAGUCUUGAGGUCGAGAGAGGUAAGUGGAAUUCCUAGUGUAGAGGUGAAAUUCGUAGAUAUUAGGAAGAACACCAGUGGCGAAGGCGACUUACUGGCUCGAUUCUGACGCUGAGGAGCGAAUGCGUGGGGAGCAAACAGGAUUAGAAACCCUAGUAGUCC
RNAcentral lists this ribosomal RNA (274 nucleotides) under uncultured bacterium. RNAcentral's name for it is "partial 16S ribosomal RNA". It matches the Rfam family "Bacterial small subunit ribosomal RNA", at positions 523 to 796 of the family's 1533-position model. The record is from RNAcentral.